This 497-nucleotide ribosomal RNA is filed under the name uncultured bacterium. RNAcentral's name for it is "partial 16S ribosomal RNA". It matches the Rfam family "Bacterial small subunit ribosomal RNA", at positions 28 to 507 of the family's 1533-position model. The record is from RNAcentral.
GAUGAACGCUGGCGGCGUGCCUAAUACAUGCAAGUCGAGCGAACAGAUGAGGAGCUUGCUCCUCUGACGUUAGCGGCGGACGGGUGAGUAACACGUGGAUAACCUACCUAUAAGACUGGGAUAACUUCGGGAAACCGGAGCUAAUACCGGAUAAUAUAUUGAACCGCAUGGUUCAAUAGUGAAAGACGGUUUUGCUGUCACUUAUAGAUGGAUCCGCGCCGCAUUAGCUAGUUGGUAAGGUAACGGCUUAUCAAGGCAACGAUGCGUAGCCGACCUGAGAGAGGGGUAGGCCACACUGGAGCUUAGCCACGGUCCAGACGCCUACGGGAGGCAGCAGUAGGCAAUCUUCCGCAAUGGGCGAAAGCCUGACAGAGCAACGCCGCGUGAGUGAUGAAGGUCUUCGGAUCGUAAAACUCUGUUAUUAGGGAAGAACAAAUGUGUAAGUAACUAUGCACGUCUUGACGGUACCUAAUCAGAAAGCCACGGCUAACUACGUG